This 497-nucleotide ribosomal RNA is filed under the name uncultured bacterium. RNAcentral's name for it is "partial 16S ribosomal RNA". It matches the Rfam family "Bacterial small subunit ribosomal RNA", at positions 28 to 507 of the family's 1533-position model. The record is from RNAcentral.
GAUGAACGCUGGCGGCGUGCCUAAUACAUGCAAGUCGAGCGAACGGACGAGAAGCUUGCUUUUCUGAUGUUAGCGGCGGACGGGUGAGUAACACGUGGACAACCUACCUAUAAGACUGGGAUAACUUCGGGACACCGGAGCUAAUACCGGCUAAUAUUUUGAACCGCAUGGUUCAAAAGUGACAGACGGCCUUGCUGUCACUCAUAGAUGGAUCCGCGCUGCAUUAGCUAGUUGGUAAGGUAACGGCUUACCAAGGCAACGAUGCAUAGCCGACCUGAGAGGGUGAUCGGCCACACUGGAACUGAGACACGGUCCAGACUCCUACGGGAGGCAGCAGUAGGGAAUCUUCCGCAAUGGGCGAAAGCCUGACGGAGCAACGCCGCGUGAGUGAUGAAGGUCUUCGGGUCGUAAAACUCUGUUAUUAGGGAAGAACAUAUGUGUAAGUAACUGUGCACAUCUUGACGGUACCGAAUCAGAAAGCCACGGCUAACUACGUG